RNAcentral lists this transfer RNA (75 nucleotides) under Bacillota bacterium. RNAcentral's name for it is "tRNA-Arg". It matches the Rfam family "tRNA". Rfam says of the family: Transfer RNA (tRNA) molecules are approximately 80 nucleotides in length. Their secondary structure includes four short double-helical elements and three loops (D, anti-codon, and T loops). The record is from RNAcentral. RNAcentral also lists the same sequence under 2 other names. Lineage: Bacteria; Bacillati; Bacillota.
GCCCUCAUAGUUAAAUGGAUAUAACGGAGGUUUCCUAAACCUUUGUUCGUGGUUCGAUUCCGCGUGGGGGUGCCA